CGAAAGCCUGACGGAGCAACGCCGCGUGAGGGAAGACGGUCUGUGGAUUGUAAACCUCUUUUCUCAGGGAAGAAGAUCUGACGGUACCUGAGGAAUAAGCAUCGGCUAACUCCGUGCCAGCAGCCGCGGUAAGACGGAGGAUGCAAGCGUUAUCCGGAAUUAUUGGGCGUAAAGCGUCCGCAGGUGGCUGUUCAAGUCUGCCGUCAAAGCACAGGGCUUAACUCUGUCAAGGCGGUGGAAACUGAGGAGCUAGAGAGAGGUAGGGGUAGAGGGAAUUCCCAGUGUAGCGGUGAAAUGCGUAGAGAUUGGGAAGAACACCGGUGGCGAAAGCGCUCUGCUGGGCCGCAACUGACACUAAUGGACGAAAGCUAGGGGAGCG
This 379-nucleotide ribosomal RNA is filed under the name uncultured Halospirulina sp. RNAcentral's name for it is "bacterial SSU rRNA". It matches the Rfam family "Bacterial small subunit ribosomal RNA", at positions 376 to 770 of the family's 1533-position model. The record is from RNAcentral. Lineage: Bacteria; Bacillati; Cyanobacteriota; Cyanophyceae; Spirulinales; Spirulinaceae.